AGGAAUAAAGCACCGGAUCCCAUCUCGAACUCCUCCGUGAAAGUCCUCAGCGCCUAUGAUACUCCGUCUUAAGACGUGGGAAAGUCGGUCGCCGCCA
This 97-nucleotide ribosomal RNA is filed under the name Candidatus Bodocaedibacter vickermanii. Lineage: Bacteria; Pseudomonadati; Pseudomonadota; Alphaproteobacteria; Holosporales; Candidatus Paracaedibacteraceae. The record is from RNAcentral.